CCGGGUCUUGUACACACCGCCCGUCACACCAUGGGAGCGGGAUGUACCAGAAGUAGGUAGGCUAACCGCAAGGGGGCCGCUUACCACGGUGCGUUUCGUGACUGGGGUG
Molecule: ribosomal RNA, 109 nt
Filed under: uncultured bacterium
Lineage: Bacteria
Description: partial 16S ribosomal RNA
Rfam family: Bacterial small subunit ribosomal RNA
Source: RNAcentral